RNAcentral lists this ribosomal RNA (827 nucleotides) under uncultured Alphaproteobacteria bacterium. RNAcentral describes it as "bacterial SSU rRNA". It matches the Rfam family "Bacterial small subunit ribosomal RNA", at positions 60 to 936 of the family's 1533-position model. Lineage: Bacteria; Pseudomonadati; Pseudomonadota; Alphaproteobacteria. The record is from RNAcentral.
AGUCGAGCGAGGUAGCAAUACCUAGCGGCAGACGGGUGCGUAACAUGUGGGAAUCUGCCUUUUGGUUCGGAACAACACGGGGAAACCUGUGCUAAUACCGGAUAAGUCCUUACGGAGAAAGUUUUAAUGCCAAAAGAUGAGCCCGCAUUUGAUUAGCUAGUUGGUGAGGUAAAAGCUCACCAAGGCGAUAAUCAAUAGCUGAUUUGAGAGGAUGAUCAGCCACACUGGGACUGAGAUACGGCCCAGACUCCUACGGGAGGCAGCAGUGGGGAAUCUUGCACAAUGGGCGAAAGCCUGAUGCAGCGAUGCCGCGUGAGUGAAGAAGGCCUUUGGGUUGUAAAGCUCUUUUGUCGGGAAAGAUAAUGACUGUACCCGAAGAAUAAGGUCCGGCUAACUUCGUGCCAGCAGCCGCGGUAAUACGAAGGGACCUAGCGUAGUUCGGAAUUACUGGGCGUAAAGAGUAUGUAGGCGGCUAGAUAAGUUAAUUGUGAAAGCCCAAAGCUUAACUUUGGAAUUGCAAUUAAAACCAUUUAGCUGGAGUAUGAUAGAGGAAAGCGGAAUACAUAGUGUAGAGGUGAAAUUCGUAGAUAUUAUGUAGAACACCAGUUGCGAAGGCGGCUUUCUGGAUCAUUACUGACGCUGAGAUACGAAAGUAUGGGUAGCGAAGAGGAUUAGAUACCCUCGUAGUCCAUACCAUAAACGAUGAUUAUUAGAUGUGGGGAAUUAUUUCUCUGUAUCAUAGCUAACGCGUUAAAUAAUCCGCCUGGGGAGUACGACCGCAAGGUUAAAACUCAAAUGAAUUGACGGGGACCCGCACAAGCGGUGGA